UGAACGCUGGCGGCGUGCCUACUACAUGCACGUCGAGCGAACAGAUGAGGAGCUUGCUCCUCUGACGUUAGCGGCGGACGGGUGAGUAACACGUGGAUAACCUACCUAUAAGACUGGGAUAACUUCGGGAAACCGGAGCUAAUACCGGAUAAUAUAUUGAACCGCAUGGUUCAAUAGUGAAAGACGGUUUUGCUGUCACUUAUAGAUGGAUCCGCGCCGCAUUAGCUAGUUGGUAAGGUAACGGCUUACCAAGGCAACGAUGCGUAGCCGACCUGAGAGGGUGAUCGGCCACACUGGAACUGAGACACGGUCCAGACUCCUACGGGAGGCAGCAGUAGGGAAUCUUCCGCAAUGGGCGAAAGCCUGACGGAGCAACGCCGCGUGAGUGAUGAAGGUCUUCGGAUCGUAAAACUCUGUUAUUAGGGAAGAACAAAUGUGUAAGUAACUAUGCACGUCUUGACGGUACCUAAUCAGAAGGCCACGGCUAACUACGUG
This 495-nucleotide ribosomal RNA is filed under the name uncultured bacterium. RNAcentral describes it as "partial 16S ribosomal RNA". It matches the Rfam family "Bacterial small subunit ribosomal RNA", at positions 30 to 507 of the family's 1533-position model. The record is from RNAcentral.